AUGAAUGUUCCUACUGGGGUGAAGGAGAACAUUCAGCUCAUGAGGGGGCUUCACAUGGUCGCCGAUAUCCAAUGCCUUGAUUGUCGUGAGGCGCUCGUGUGGAAGUGCAAGAUGGACUACGAGGAAUCACAGAAGUACAAGGAAUGGAAGUUCAUAUUUGAGAAGGCAAAUAUUGUACAUGAGAAUUGGUAG
This 192-nucleotide ribosomal RNA is filed under the name Triticum aestivum (bread wheat). RNAcentral's name for it is "partial small subunit ribosomal RNA". Lineage: Eukaryota; Viridiplantae; Streptophyta; Magnoliopsida; Poales; Poaceae. The record is from RNAcentral.